Molecule: ribosomal RNA, 484 nt
Filed under: uncultured bacterium
Lineage: Bacteria
Description: partial 16S ribosomal RNA
Rfam family: Bacterial small subunit ribosomal RNA
Source: RNAcentral
AUUGAACGCUGGCGGCAUGCUUUACACAUGCAAGUCGAACGGCAGCGCGGGCUUCGGCCUGGCGGCGAGUGGCGAACGGGUGAGUAAUACAUCGGAACGUGCCCAGUAGUGGGGGAUAGCUCGGCGAAAGCCGGAUUAAUACCGCAUACGACCUGAGGGUGAAAGCGGGGGAUCUUCGGACCUCGCGCUAUUGGAGCGGCCGAUGGCAGAUUAGCUAGUUGGUGGGGUAAAGGCCUACCAAGGCGACGAUCUGUAGCUGGUCUGAGAGGACGACCAGCCACACUGGGACGGAGACACGGACCAGACUCCUACGGGAGGCAGCAGUGGGGAAUUUUGGACAAUGGGCGAAAGCCUGAUCCAGCAAUGCCGCGUGUGUGAUGAAGGCCUUCGGGUUGUAAAGCACUUUUGGCGGGAACGAAAAGGACUGUGCCAAUACCACGGUUCGAUGACGGUACCCGCAGAAUAAGCACCGGCUAACUACGUG